AUGGCCCACAAGACCGAGUGGACGUCGCACGGUCACCUGCGCAGGCGCGGCCGCGCGGGGAACUGGGAGACGACGUGCCCUUAUGGACACGUGGUGACCGUCAAUCUCAAGAUUUGUCGCCCUAGCCUCUCGGAGAAGUUUAUAGAGAUGACAGUAGAGGGCCAGGCGUGGCUUGGCGUCGCUAAGAGCCACGAGGUCAUCGCUGCCGGCCUCCGCGCACCAGCUGCUGCAAACCCCCCUGCGCCGUCGCCGUGGGACGCCUGCGUUCUGCUGCUCCAUUGCCGGCACCUGUCCCUGUGCGGCGCGUGCGAACCCGCCGUGAACACCUGCCCCGUGUGCGCGUCCACCAAGAACGCCUCGCUCCACGUCCUCCUUUCUUGA
Molecule: ribosomal RNA, 381 nt
Filed under: Triticum aestivum (bread wheat)
Lineage: Eukaryota; Viridiplantae; Streptophyta; Magnoliopsida; Poales; Poaceae
Description: partial small subunit ribosomal RNA
Source: RNAcentral